This 253-nucleotide ribosomal RNA is filed under the name uncultured bacterium. RNAcentral describes it as "partial 16S ribosomal RNA". It matches the Rfam family "Bacterial small subunit ribosomal RNA", at positions 524 to 776 of the family's 1533-position model. The record is from RNAcentral.
UACGGGGGAUGCAAGCGUUAUCCGGAAUCAUUGGGCGUAAAGCGCCUGUAGGUUGUUUAGUAAGUCUGUUGUUAAAGACCAGGGCUUAACCCUGGGAAAGCAAUGGAAACUACUAGACUUGAGUAUGGCAGGGGUAGAGGGAAUUUCUAGUGUAGCGGUGAAAUGCGUAGAUAUUAGAAAGAACACCGGCGGCGAAAGCGCUCUACUGGACCAUUACUGACACUCAGAGGCGAAAGCUAGGGGAGCAAAAGGG